AACGAACGCUGGCGGCGCGCCUAAUACAUGCAAGUCGAGCGAGAAGACGUAGCAAUACGUUUGUAAAGCGGCGAACGGGUGAGGAAUACAUGGGUAACCUACCCUCGAGUGGGGAAUAACUAGCCGAAAGGUUAGCUAAUACCGCGUACGCUCCUUGGACUUCGGUUCAGGGAGGAAAGCGAUACCGUGGGUAUCGCGCUCUUGGAUGGGCUCAUGUCCUAUCAGCUUGUUGGUGAGGAACGGCUCACCAAGGCUUCGACGGGUAGCUGGUCUGAGAGGACGAUCAGCCACACUGGCACUGCGACACGGGCCAGACUCCUACGGGAGGCAGCAGUAAGGAAUAUUGCGCAAUGGGCGAAAGCCUGACGCAGCGACGCCGCGUGGGGGAUGAAGGUCUUCGGAUU
Molecule: ribosomal RNA, 404 nt
Filed under: uncultured bacterium
Lineage: Bacteria
Description: bacterial SSU rRNA
Rfam family: Bacterial small subunit ribosomal RNA
Source: RNAcentral